Molecule: ribosomal RNA, 773 nt
Filed under: uncultured Neocallimastigales
Lineage: Eukaryota; Fungi; Neocallimastigomycota; Neocallimastigomycetes; Neocallimastigales
Description: partial large subunit ribosomal RNA
Rfam family: Eukaryotic large subunit ribosomal RNA
Source: RNAcentral
AGAGAGAGACAUGCGCGCAUAUCAAUAAGCGGAGGAAAAGAAACUAACAAGGAUUCCCUUAGUAACGGCGAGUGAAGCGGGAAGAGCUCAAAUUUGAAAUCUUCAAGGUUUUACCUUGACGAAUUGUAGUUUAAAGAAGUGUUUUCUGCUGAAGUUUUGGUAAAAGUUCUCUGGAAUAGGACAUCAUAGAGGGUGAGAAUCCCGUAUUUGACCAUUAUUUUCAGCUUUGUGAUACACUUUCAAAGAGUCGGAUUGUUUGGGAAUGCAGUCCAAAAUGGGUGGUAAAUUUCAUCUAAAGCUAAAUAUUGGCGAGAGACCGAUAGCGAACAAGUACCGUGAGGGAAAGAUGAAAGAACUUUGAAAAGAGAGUUAAACAGUACGUGAAAUUGUCAAAAGGGAAGCGUUUGACACCAGUGUUGUUUUCUCGAAAAUCAAUUAAAAAUGGCUCGAUUUUGUAUUGUUGAGACCUUAAAAGCUCACUGUACAUUUUUCGUGUCUUUUUUAAUGCACUUUUCGUUUAACAAGUCAACAUCAGUUUCUUUUGUUGUAAAAGGGUCAUUGGAAGGUGGCUUUCUUUUCGGAGAAAGUGUUUAUAGCCUUUGGCCUCUGCAAUCGAAGAGACUGAGGUCUGCAGCGUAGACUCUUCGGGGUUAGAUACAUUUGUGCUAAGUUAUAGCUUUUUAUAGACAACUUGUUGACUAUAAUUAGUCUUGUAGCUUACUCGCUUAUGCUAUUUUACCUACGCUUAGGAUGUUGAAGUCAUCGUAUCGCGC